Molecule: ribosomal RNA, 427 nt
Filed under: uncultured bacterium
Lineage: Bacteria
Description: partial 16S ribosomal RNA
Rfam family: Bacterial small subunit ribosomal RNA
Source: RNAcentral
GUGGGGAAUUUUGGACAAUGGGGGAAACUCUGAUCCAGCGACGCCGCGUGAAGGAUGAAGGCCUUCGGGUUGUAAACUUCUUUUGGAGGGGACGAAUAAAUUGACGGUACCCUCAGAAAAAGCCACGGCUAACUACGUGCCAGCAGCCGCGGUAAUACGUAGGUGGCGAGCGUUACUCGGAAUUACUAGGCGUAAAGCGUAUGUAGGCGGUUGUAUAAGUCUAUGGUGAAAUUUCAUGGCUCAACUAGGAAGGGACAUAGAUACUGUAUGGCUUGAGUGUUGGAGGGGGAGACGGAAUUCCUGGUGUAGCGGUGAAAUGCGUAGAUAUCAGGAGGAACACCGAUGGCGAAAGCAGUCUCCUGGCCAAAUACUGACGCUGAGGUACGAAAGCUAGGGUAGCAAACAGGAUUAGAAACCCCUGUAGUCC